RNAcentral lists this ribosomal RNA (972 nucleotides) under Salmonella enterica subsp. enterica serovar Mississippi. RNAcentral describes it as "partial 23S ribosomal RNA". It matches the Rfam family "Bacterial large subunit ribosomal RNA", at positions 1273 to 2228 of the family's 2925-position model. The record is from RNAcentral. Lineage: Bacteria; Pseudomonadati; Pseudomonadota; Gammaproteobacteria; Enterobacterales; Enterobacteriaceae.
CUGGAGGUAUCAGAAGUGCGAAUGCUGACAUAAGUAACGAUAAAGCGGGUGAAAAGCCCGCUCGCCGGAAGACCAAGGGUUCCUGUCCAACGUUAAUCGGGGCAGGGUGAGUCGACCCCUAAGGCGAGGCCGAAAGGCGUAGUCGAUGGGAAACGGGUUAAUAUUCCCGUACUUGGUGUUACUGCGAAGGGGGGACGGAGAAGGCUAUGUUGGCCGGGCGACGGUUGUCCCGGUUUAAGCGUGUAGGUGUGUGUUCCAGGUAAAUCCGGUUCACUUUAACACUGAGGCGUGACGACGAGGCACUACGGUGCUGAAGCAACAAAUGCCCUGCUUCCAGGAAAAGCCUCUAAGCAUCAGGUAACAUCAAAUCGUACCCCAAACCGACACAGGUGGUCAGGUAGAGAAUACCAAGGCGCUUGAGAGAACUCGGGUGAAGGAACUAGGCAAAAUGGUGCCGUAACUUCGGGAGAAGGCACGCUGACACGUAGGUGAAGUGAUUUACUCAUGGAGCUGAAGUCAGUCGAAGAUACCAGCUGGCUGCAACUGUUUAUUAAAAACACAGCACUGUGCAAACACGAAAGUGGACGUAUACGGUGUGACGCCUGCCCGGUGCCGGAAGGUUAAUUGAUGGGGUCAGCGCAAGCGAAGCUCCUGAUCGAAGCCCCGGUAAACGGCGGCCGUAACUAUAACGGUCCUAAGGUAGCGAAAUUCCUUGUCGGGUAAGUUCCGACCUGCACGAAUGGCGUAAUGAUGGCCAGGCUGUCUCCACCCGAGACUCAGUGAAAUUGAACUCGCUGUGAAGAUGCAGUGUACCCGCGGCAAGACGGAAAGACCCCGUGAACCUUUACUAUAGCUUGACACUGAACACUGGUCCUUGAUGUGUAGGAUAGGUGGGAGGCUUUGAAGUGUGGACGCCAGUCUGCAUGGAGCCAUCCUUGAAAUACCACCCUUUAAUGGCUGGUGUUCUAACGU